Pyrus x bretschneideri (Chinese white pear) is the source of this 3717-nucleotide long non-coding RNA. RefSeq lists it as uncharacterized. NCBI's taxonomy places the organism in Eukaryota, Viridiplantae, Streptophyta, Magnoliopsida, Rosales, Rosaceae. The record is from RefSeq and is a predicted model, not a curated record. The transcript has 3 exons.
GAAAUGGCCCUUCUCUCUCUGCCCCCUAUCUUUCUCCCUCUAGCUCGGACGGACUCCGUCCACUUCUCUCGUUUUGUUCUCUCCGGUAUCUCUCUCUCUUCCACCAAGCCCGUCAGAGUUUGUCAGAGGUGCCAAUUAUUCCCCACUAUCUGUUUUGUAACAGAAUACCAGUUAACAGAAUCACCCCCGUACCCGCCGCCGCCUCCGCUAUCUCAGAGCCGCCCUCAUUUUCGUUUGAAUCUGAAUCCUCCUCUUCCAUUGCUCCGUCGCCCCAACCGUCACAACCUCUGCCGUCUCAUCCGCUCUCAAUUAUCAUCAGGCGGAGGCGGCUACGGUUGGGAAGGUUAGGCACAAAAGAUUGGUGAGGGAAAUGAGAGGCUGUUGGUGGCACAAUGCAUGCCUAAUCAUACUCUCUCUAAAUACCUCUUUCCCUGUAUGUUUCUAUCUCUCUUGAUACCUAUAAAAACUUGAAUCUUGCUAAUUUCCUCCAGAAGCCUCAUGUCGUUGCAACAUAUUGUAUAAGGUAGUUUUGCUUUAAUCAUUCUUCUAGUUGUAACUUGUAACUUGUAACUUAAUGCAAAUGCUUGGGGAAGUGAAGUGAUCACCAAUCGUGAGUCAGCAUGUUCAUCUGUGUCCAAGGACUCUCACUAGGCAUUUAGCUGUAAAUACAAUCCUUUUUCUGGUCUGAAUUCUGCGUAACUUACAUGGUCUUUAAUUCUGUCCUAGUUUUUGUAAGGAUUCUGGAUAGGGGUUUUGUUUUGAGUAAUCUGGCAUCAAUUAGAUGGGUUUUUGAGCAAUAACGGAUUAAUUUGGUCUUUUCUGGUUUUUGUGUUUAGUGUAUCUUUGGGAUAUCUGUGAUGUAGUUUGUUGGUAGUACCAAAAUAAAAUUUAGUGGAUUUCAAGGGUAGUUUAAACAAAACAAAUGUGCAGUUGUCAUGAUCAUUCUUAAUGGUGUUGUCAGUUGUCUGCAAAUUUUCCCUGUACUUAUCAUCUGUUUUCCUAUAAUCUGAUUGGAGUUAAUAUAAACUUAUUAUUGUGGAAAAUUAGUUUCUGUAUGAAUUUUGGACUCUGUUAUUGCAUGCUUAGAACAGUAGAGAUUGUCAAAGAAAGAUUAGUCUUUGAAAAUGAAAUCUGCAUCAAAAGACAAUUAAAACCACCUUGGAAAAACCAGGUAUGGGUGCUAUCACUCUAUUUCCCUAUAUCCCUGCUGAAGUGGGUUUGGGUUCAAUCUUUGGAAGGGCAUCCUUGAGUUAAAGGACUUGUUAACGAAUGGAUUAGUCGAACGACAUAAUCUUGGCAUGUAACUAAUGAGUUUUCCCUCUGCAUAUCAAUUAAUCAUUUGUCUUCCUUACAGAUAAAGGGUUCGUUUGGGGAGGGUGAUGGCAAUGCUGCUACUGUCAACUAGAAAUUGUUGAAUCUACAAAAGUUGGCCCCUUUCAUUUCAGUAAAAGACUUGAUACAAAAGUUCUUGUAAUGUUUCAUAACUUCAUUCUUUUUCCUCUCAAGCAUUUCAUAACUGCAGAUUUUGAUGUUGCAUCAAAGUUUUAUCUCUCUCUUCUCCUUUAUUGGUUCUGAUAGACAAUGAUGUGAUAGGGUCAGCAUGUUCAUCUGUGUCCAAGGACUCUCACUAGGCAUUUAGCUGUAAAUACAAUCCUUUUUCUGGAAUGAAUUUUGCUUAACUUAGGCCCUCUCACGUAUAUAUUUCUCAUUUAAUCCGAUAUUAGAAAAUAGUUACCACAUAACCAAGUAGUAGUAGCACUACCACAGUGCCCUCAGACCCUCUCAUGUAUAUAUUUCUCAUUUAAUCUGAUAUUAGAAAAUAGUUACCAAAAAAAAGGAUAACUAGGAAGAGGAAAGAAAGAGUUAGGGUUUCCAAUCCAAACAUUCUCCUUCCCAAAAUGGAUCAAGCAAUCAAGAUGGAUAUGAAAUAUUAUUUUGUUGCUCCGUUUUUAUAAUUAAGAUCCCUAACUCUAUAUAUAUAAUGUAUAUUUAAUUAGCAUUUUGAUUACAAGAUCCGAUAAUUAAUUAGCAUAUCAUUAAUUAUCCGAUAAUUACUUUUCAAUUUGUCUAGUCGCACUAAGAAAUCAGUUGACCUCAUCUAAUUGCUAUGUGAUUAAGGUAUUUUCGCUAAAUUCUCUAGAUCCAUGUCAUGCAAUUUCCUUUCCUUUCCUAUUAUGUUAAUUAAUGAUUAUAGUUCUACCUCUUAAUUUCUUGCUUAAUUUUAUCUCUUAAUUUUAAGAACAACAUUAUCUCUUAAUUUUAACAACAACAUUAUCUUUUAAUUUUAACAACAACAAGGAAAUAAUCGGGUCGACCUAAUUUCUUGCUUAAUUUUAUCUCUUAAUUUUAAUUUUAUUAAUUAUUAUUAACAUAGAGAUUAGCGAAAUCACUAUAAUUCCUAAUAAUAAUAAUAAUUAAUAAAAUUAAAAUUAAGAGAUAAAAUUAAGCAAGAAAUUAAGAGGUAGAACUAUAAUCAAUAAUUAACAUAUUAAGAAAGGAAAUUGCAUGCCAUGGAUCUAGGGAAUUUAGCAAAAAUACUUUAAUUGCAUAGCAAUUAGAUGAGGUCAACUGAUUUCUUAGUGCGAUUAGACAAAUUGAAGAGUAAUUAUCAGAUAAUUAAUGAUAUGCUAAUUAAUUAUCGGAUCUUGUAAUCAAAAUGCUAAUUAAAUAUACAUUAUAUAUAUAUAUAGAGUUAGGGAUCUUAAUUAUAAAAACGGAGAAAGAAAAUAAUAUUUCAUACCCAUCUUGAUUGAUUGAUCCAUUUUGGAACGACAAUGUUUGGAUUGGAAACGCUAACUCUUUCUUUCCUCUUCCUUCUCUUUUUUGGUAUUUAUUUUCUAAUAUCGGAUUAAAUGAGAAAUAUAUGCGUGAGAGGGUCUGAGGGCAUUUUAUCAUAAAUUUAACAAGGAAAUAAUCGUAUUGACCUAAUUUUAUCUCUUAAUUUUAAUUUUAUUAGAUAUUAUUAUUAUUAUUAGGAAUUAUAGUGAUUUCACUAAUCUCUAUGUUAAUUCCCUCUAGCAUUAUAUUUGCUAAUUUUCUGAUUAGAUGCAUGCAUGAUCAUAGAAACCCAAUUAGGCCGCCAUUCCUUAUUUCAUCAUCCUUUUUAUGCCCAUUCAUUAAUUCUUGACAUCAUGUACUUAAUUCCUUCAUUCCUGUAUCUGCUCUUGACACCCGAGCAAAGCAUAAGAAGUUUGCCAAUAAGUUUCAAGAAAUAUACUGCCCGAUGUGUAACAAGAAAUUUCACACGAAGAGUGGCUUCCUCAUACACCAAACAUCUCACAAGAAAUACUACAAAGCGUGGGAAAGCUUGCCCUCAAGCCGCCUCUUGCUUCUUGUGAUCAUGAUGACUCUGAUGAGGCUGCUGCUGAAGCUACUGUUGGUCAUGAUGGUUAAGAAGGAGAACAAGUGGAUGGCUAGUUCUUGUGUUUCCUUCUGAAGAAUGCAUGGUAUCUCACACUACUGGGUUUGCUGCAAUUCAGCUUUGAACAAAUAACUAGCUUUCCUUACACUCACUCUACAUAUUGGUGUGGUGGUCUCUUGGUUUUGAAGAACCCUUUAUAAAGUUGAUCUCACUAGUUAAUUUCCAGUUGAUCUCACUAGUUAAUGUGUAUGUCACUAGUUGGUCUCUUGGUUUGGGAUAUUCGUUUUAUAAAUUUUUUCGUAUGAAUGUUGUGUUUGCAUUUUUGAAACAUAGUCAAUUGAGUGAUUUAGCCUUCA